GACGAACGCUGGCGGCGUGCUUAACACAUGCAAGUCGAGCGGAGCGGCGAACGGGUGAGUAACGCGUGAGUAACUGCCCCCCUCUCUGGGAUAACAGUUGGAAACGGCUGCUAAUACCGGAUUGUGUGGGAUGACGCGCGUCCUAUCAGCUUGUUGGUGGGGUAGUGGCCUACCAGGGCGCCGACGGGUAGCCGGCCUGAGAGGGCGACCGGCCACCAUGGGCUGAGAUACGGCCCAAACGCGUACAGGGGGCAGCAGUGGGGAAUAUUGCACAAUGGGGGAAACCCUGAUGCAGCAACGCGCGUGCGUGAUGACGGCCUUCGGGUUGUAAACCGCUUUCAGCCAUGACGCGGUAGUGGCAGAAGAAGCACCGGCUAACUUCGUGCCAGCAGCCGCGGUAAUUC
RNAcentral lists this ribosomal RNA (404 nucleotides) under uncultured bacterium. Its description in RNAcentral is "partial 16S ribosomal RNA". It matches the Rfam family "Bacterial small subunit ribosomal RNA", at positions 28 to 526 of the family's 1533-position model. The record is from RNAcentral.